CAUCCCAUCCCCACGCAAAGAUCUGGGUUCCAGCUCCAACACUGCCACCAGAUGGCCAACUGUUCUUAGGCCAGUGGUCUAACCUCUCUGGGCUUCAGCUUCAUCAUCCCUUGUUAGAUGUGGUCUGCCUACCUCACGGGACUGGACUGCUGAGUGGAACAAAUGAGGGUUAUGAGACACAGCUCUUUCACUGGGGUGGACAUACCAUGAGAAGGUGGUGGAGGCAACUUGUGUUAAUAAGGUCCGGCUCCAGGUUCAGACUCUAACCUGUGACUUGAGUUCUACUGAAACAGGACUUCUUACCUGUUCCCUAGUCACCUCCAUGGCUGAUGAUGGACUGCAACGUCCUGACCAGUCUCUGAU
Non-coding RNA from Puma concolor (puma), 363 nucleotides. NCBI's taxonomy places the organism in Eukaryota, Metazoa, Chordata, Mammalia, Carnivora, Felidae. The record is from RefSeq and is a predicted model, not a curated record.